AUGCUCACUUCAGCAGCACAUAUACUAAAAUUGCAACAAUAUAGAGAAGAUUAUAAGCAUGGCCCCUGUGCAAGGAUGACAUGCAAAUUUGUGAAGCAUCCCAUAUUUUU
Molecule: small nuclear RNA, 110 nt
Filed under: Carlito syrichta (Philippine tarsier)
Lineage: Eukaryota; Metazoa; Chordata; Mammalia; Primates; Tarsiidae
Source: RNAcentral